AGGACAUAUAUGAGGGGUUGUUAUAAGUUCUUUGGUGAGUGCUUUAAAAAAAGAAUCAACCUUAAAUAUAUAAAUGUCAUUAAGGACAUAAAUAAGGGGUUGUUUCAAGUAUAAGAAUGGUGGGAAGGGAUAUGGACGAGUUUCCCAUAACAGUAGGUUUACAUUAAAGAUCAACUUAGAGUUUGUACUUGUUUACCUUAGUUAUGGAUGAGUUAACCAAUCAUAUUCAAG
This 231-nucleotide unclassified non-coding RNA is filed under the name Hevea brasiliensis (rubber tree). The record is from RNAcentral. Lineage: Eukaryota; Viridiplantae; Streptophyta; Magnoliopsida; Malpighiales; Euphorbiaceae.